This 274-nucleotide ribosomal RNA is filed under the name uncultured bacterium. Its description in RNAcentral is "partial 16S ribosomal RNA". It matches the Rfam family "Bacterial small subunit ribosomal RNA", at positions 523 to 796 of the family's 1533-position model. The record is from RNAcentral.
AUACAGAGGGUGCGAGCGUUAAUCGGAAUUACUGGGCGUAAAGCGCGCGUAGGUGGUUAUGUAAGUUGGAUGUGAAAGCCCCGGGCUUAACCUGGGAAUUGCAUUCAAAACUGCAUGGCUAGAGUCUGAUAGAGGGAAGUGGAAUUUCCGGUGUAGCGGUGAAAUGCGUAGAUAUCGGAAGGAACACCAGUGGCGAAGGCGGCUUCCUGGAUCAAGACUGACGCUGAGGUGCGAAAGCGUGGGGAGCAAACAGGAUUAGAUACCCGUGUAGUCC